RNAcentral lists this ribosomal RNA (1422 nucleotides) under metagenome. Its description in RNAcentral is "bacterial SSU rRNA". It matches the Rfam family "Bacterial small subunit ribosomal RNA". The record is from RNAcentral.
AGAGUUUGAUCCUGGCUCAGGAUGAACGCUGGCGGCGUGCUUAACACAUGCAAGUCGAACGAACCUUCGGGUUAGUGGCGGACGGGUGAGUAACGCGUGAGAAUCUGCCCUCAGGAGGGGGAUAACGGCUGGAAACGGCCGCUAAUACCCCAUAUGCCGAGAGGUGAAAUGAAUUUCGCCUGAGGAUGAGCUCGCGUCUGAUUAGCUAGUUGGUGGGGUAAGAGCCUACCAAGGCUUCGAUCAGUAGCUGGUCUGAGAGGAUGAUCAGCCACACUGGGACUGAGACACGGCCCAGACUCCUACGGGAGGCAGCAGUGGGGAAUUUUCCGCAAUGGGCGAAAGCCUGACGGAGCAACGCCGCGUGAGGGAUGAAGGCCUCUGGGCUGUAAACCUCUUUUCUCAAGGAAGAAGAUCUGACGGUACUUGAGGAAUAAGCCACGGCUAAUUCCGUGCCAGCAGCCGCGGUAAUACGGGAGUGGCAAGCGUUAUCCGGAAUUAUUGGGCGUAAAGCGUCCGCAGGCGGCCUUGAAAGUCUGCUGUUAAAGCGUGGAGCUUAACUCCAUUUCAGCAGUGGAAACUACAAGGCUAGAGUGUGGUAGGGGCAGAGGGAAUUCCCGGUGUAGCGGUGAAAUGCGUAGAUAUCGGGAAGAACACCAGUGGCGAAGGCGCUCUGCUGGGCCAUAACUGACGCUCAUGGACGAAAGCCAGGGGAGCGAAAGGGAUUAGAUACCCCUGUAGUCCUGGCCGUAAACGAUGAACACUAGGUGUCGGGGGAAUCGACCCCUCCGGUGUCGUAGCCAACGCGUUAAGUGUUCCGCCUGGGGAGUACGCACGCAAGUGUGAAACUCAAAGGAAUUGACGGGGGCCCGCACAAGCGGUGGAGUAUGUGGUUUAAUUCGAUGCAACGCGAAGAACCUUACCAGGGUUUGACAUCCUGCGAAUCCCUUGGAAACGAGGGAGUGCCUUCGGGAGCGCAGUGACAGGUGGUGCAUGGCUGUCGUCAGCUCGUGUCGUGAGAUGUUGGGUUAAGUCCCGCAACGAGCGCAACCCACGUCUUUAGUUGCCAGCAUUGAGUUGGGCACUCUAGAGAGACCGCCGGUGAUAAACCGGAGGAAGGUGUGGAUGACGUCAAGUCAUCAUGCCCCUUACAUCCUGGGCUACACACGUACUACAAUGCUACGGACAAAGGGCAGCAAACUCGCGAGAGCUAGCAAAUCCCAUAAACCGUGGCUCAGUUCAGAUCGUAGGCUGCAACUCGCCUACGUGAAGGAGGAAUCGCUAGUAAUCGCAGGUCAGCAUACUGCGGUGAAUACGUUCCCGGGCCUUGUACACACCGCCCGUCACACCAUGGAAGUUGGCCACGCCCGAAGUCGUUACUCCAACCCGCAAGGGAGGAGGAUGCCGAAGGUGGGGCUGAUGACU